This 383-nucleotide long non-coding RNA is filed under the name Zonotrichia albicollis (white-throated sparrow). RNAcentral's name for it is "lncRNA (ENSZALG00000009338.1)". The record is from RNAcentral. Lineage: Eukaryota; Metazoa; Chordata; Aves; Passeriformes; Passerellidae.
GGACCUAUUCCUCCCGAACAGAACCUUGCAAACAUCCAUCAAACUGAUGAAUUUGUAGAACUUUUGUAUUUGGAAUGAUAUUUCUGUUGCGUCAUUCUUAAAUGCUGAAAAGAAAAAAAGAAGCAAGCAGCACAACAAACCCAGUGGUUUCAUUUUCAUGAUUCUGCAUGGUGCCAAGUAUAUCAAAACAGCAAGGGAAAACUGGAUAUCCAGCAGGGAAUGUAAAAUAAGCAGUCAGGUUUGGCUGAAUCUUCAGCUACCAAACCCAAGAGUCACUGGAUAUGGAGACAGCUCAAGACAAACUCACAUGGAUGUACAUGCAGGUAUUUCUAGGCUAAAUCUUAACUGAAUUAAAAGAGCUAUAAUGACAUAUUUUAUUAUGC